GGUGGUCACGGGCGGUCGAUGUGGUACUGAUCGUUUGAUCAUAUUUACGCGGUGCGUAGAGAACAUGUGCUCCUUUUUUGUGUGAAUUAACGAUCACUAAGCCCUGGGUCCUGUGCAAUGCUAUUAGCUCGCUGUAUGUUUCUUGCGGUGCGCCGUUGUUGAUUAUCGUAGUGCGGUCCACACGCGCUUCCUUUGUGCCCGGCUCAUGAGAAGUGUUGUACUCUCGCCGCUCCCGCAUCGGCUCACAGUGCACGGAAGAAUGUGUUGAUAGUUGUGCUAUCGCGUGCUGUAGUUCACCGCAAUUCAACACUACGCUGGACGGACUGUUGGUGCAGUCGAUGCGGCGUGAACGGACACGAAGGAGCGCUCGCCUCAGAAGGUAAGUCCGGCGCCUAGCGCAUUCUUAUGGUUCAUGUAGUGUACCUUGUCAUGCGCAGCAGAAGAUGAUUAGUACAGCUACAAAAACAGUGACAGUGAUUCCCUAAUGUUCGUUCGAUAUCGUAGUGCACAUUUAGGAAAACGUUUCACGAAAAUUACCCCGAGAUUGAUGUUGUUAAGAGCUUCAUCUAUUGUUUAUUUUCUUUUUGUUAUGAAGUAUGCUAGCGCCGGGGCAUCGCUUGGUCUGAACGGGCACAAAAAUUCAAGCAGGGAAUGUCACUGCUUCUGGAUGUCACAAUUUCCUGAGACGGAGGCAUCUCUGCACCACAAAGGAGACUGCGGCACUAUGCAGCCAGAACAGCACGACAAAGCAUCUGAUCUGCCUGCUUUGACAAGAUGUGGCUGGGCCUGCAGAAAGAGUGUAAGCGCACUACUGUGUUGCUGAUCAGUGCUGGUGCUGAUCUCUACGUCUGAGUUGGCCUCACAACGUCCAGGCGCCACUGUGCUUUGCUUCAUUGACAAGGUGUGGCUGGGCCUGCAGAAAAGCUGUAAGCAGACUGCAGUGUUGCUGAUCAGUGCUGAUCUCCACGUACGAGUUGGUCCCACAAUAUCCAGGCACCACGGUGCUUUCACAAGGUUCACAAUCCAAAUGGGUUAUUUAUUUGUGCUAGCAAGUGGAUGUGGGUAAACCAAGCCAAAACGGACAGCACGUUUGCCAGGGAGAUUGCCCAAUGCUUGCGGCAGGCACAUGAAUUAAUCCACAGGAGUGUUACGAGCAAAAUAUGUAUGCGAAAGCUAAAGGAAGGUGGUGAGGCCAAGCCAGCGUUGACACCACAAAAACUUGGUGCAUAUCUAAAGGCAUACGAGCACUUUGUUUCAAAAACGCCAAGCACCGUGGAUACAGAGGCAAGGAGGCUGAAGGACCUGAACAAGCACCUGGCCACCAUGCUUCGGGAUGCAAAAUAAAGAUGGUUUGUGUUAA
Molecule: long non-coding RNA, 1360 nt
Organism: Dermacentor andersoni
Lineage: Eukaryota; Metazoa; Arthropoda; Arachnida; Ixodida; Ixodidae
Source: RefSeq, a predicted model, not a curated record